This 100-nucleotide ribosomal RNA is filed under the name Bacteroidia bacterium. Its description in RNAcentral is "partial 16S ribosomal RNA". It matches the Rfam family "Bacterial small subunit ribosomal RNA", at positions 1 to 97 of the family's 1533-position model. Lineage: Bacteria; Pseudomonadati; Bacteroidota; Bacteroidia. The record is from RNAcentral.
ACAAUGGAGAGUUUGAUCCUGGCUCAGGAUUAACGCUAGCGGCAGGCCUAAUACAUGCAAGUCGAACGGGAUUUCGGGUAGCAAUAUCUGGAUGAGAGUG